Molecule: ribosomal RNA, 254 nt
Filed under: uncultured bacterium
Lineage: Bacteria
Description: partial 16S ribosomal RNA
Rfam family: Bacterial small subunit ribosomal RNA
Source: RNAcentral
UACGUAGGGGGCUAGCGUUGUCCGGAAUCAUUGGGCGUAAAGCGCGUGUAGGCGGUCCGGUAAGUCCGCUGUGAAAGUCGGGGGCUCAACCCUCGGAUGCCGGUGGAUACUGUCGGGCUUGAGUACGGAAGAGGCGAGUGGAAUUCCUGGUGUAGCGGUGAAAUGCGCAGAUAUCAAGGAGGAACACCAAUUGCGAAGGCAGCUCGCUGGGACGUUACUGACGCUGAGAUGCGAAAGUGUGGGGAGCAAACGGG